GUGCUUGCUUUGGCAGCACACAUACUAAAAGUGGACCCAUACAGAGAAGAUUAACAUGGCCCCUGCACAAGGAUGACCUGCAAAUUCGCGAAGCGUCCCAGUAAAGA
Molecule: small nuclear RNA, 107 nt
Filed under: Myotis brandtii (Brandt's bat)
Lineage: Eukaryota; Metazoa; Chordata; Mammalia; Chiroptera; Vespertilionidae
Source: RNAcentral